This 1077-nucleotide long non-coding RNA is filed under the name Manacus vitellinus (golden-collared manakin). Its description in RNAcentral is "lncRNA (ENSMVIG00005017526.1)". Lineage: Eukaryota; Metazoa; Chordata; Aves; Passeriformes; Pipridae. The record is from RNAcentral.
UCAAGCAGAAGUCUGAAAAAGAUGAGAACUGUGGAUUUAAAAAAGUGGUUUGAGGCAUGAUUAACCUGCAGCGGCAAAAGACUGAAGCUAUGACUUGUGACGCAAGAGGAAAAAAAUCAGGAGGGGUGGAGUUUUAAAUGGCCUUGGAGAAAAGUACAAGAACUGCAGGAAAAUAAGGAGAUCUAGUAGAAAGAUAACAGAAGAUGAUCAGAAUUUUUGUUCAUUGUUUUGCUUUUUGUCAACCAAAAUUCUGCAAUACUAGAGGGCAGUAGAAGCAGAGAUUAUGAGAAGCACAGCUGCACAUAUACAGGACACAGCUAAAAACAGCUUCUAGAGGAUGUUUUAUUUGCUUCUCUGCUUCAGCAGAAGACAACCGUACGCUCAGUGAGAGACUAAAAGCGGCCUGUAAUCAUCAGCCAGUCAGUCAGACACAACUCUUCUGGGCAGAGUGAGAAAGGAUGCACAGCCUGCAGAUCUUCCAGCAGGUUUGAAGCUUUUCAUCCUAAAGUGAAUUUUCGCCAACCGGUCUGAGAUGAAGCUCUGUGAAACAGCAUGGCAAAAGAACAAGGCUGCGUGCCAUUCAACUUUAAUAAGUCAUGGGAGAAGAUAUUGUUUAGCCUUUCAGAGUUUAUACUUUCAGAUUUGUAACUAAUGGGCCAUUCUUGAACUUGGAUGAGGUGAUCCUAGAAAAUCAGUAAGAAGCACAGCAGAGCAGAGAGAAGCCAACAAGCACAGAGCAACAGGCAGCAGCUCUUAUGCAUGCAAUUCAACUUCCAGGGCCACCCACUGCUUCACCACAGGAAUUGGGGCGGACUGAGUGUAUCCUGCAGCAAGAAUAAGGGAAACUGAGCCUAAGAAGUAAGGAGGAUAUAUUCUCUCUUUGUUGUCUAAUACCUGGAUCAAUGGUCAAAAUUUUCUGUUAAUUAGUAAUUAAUUAAAUAAGAAAAAAUUGCCUACUUUUUGCUUGUGAUGUUAGCAAGUGCAAUAGCCAAACAUUCUUUUCACAACAUUAUGGACAUCCUUUGGCAUAAUCUGCUUUGAUAAAGUGGAGGUACAAUAAAGUCUUUGGCAACUACA